CCUACGGGUGGCAGCAGUGGGGAAUAUUGCACAAUGGGGGAAACCCUGAUGCAGCGACGCCGCGUGAGUGAAGAAGUAAUUCGUUAUGUAAAGCUCUAUCAGCAGGGAAGAAAAUGACGGUACCUGAGUAAGAAGCCCCGGCUAACUACGUGCCAGCAGCCGCGGUAAGACGUAGGGGGCAAGCGUUAUCCGGAUUUACUGGGUGUAAAGGGGGCGUAGACGGCAGUGCAAGUCUGGAGUGAAAGGCGGGGGCUCAACCCCCGGACUGCUCUGGAAACUGUACGGCUGGAGUGCAGGAGAGGUAAGUGGAAUUCCUAGUGUAGCGGUGAAAUGCGUAGAUAUUAGGAGGAACACCAGUGGCGAAGGCGGCUUACUGGACUGUAACUGACGUUGAGGCUCGAAAGCGUGGGGAGCAAACAGGAUUAGAUACCCGUGUAGUC
This 440-nucleotide ribosomal RNA is filed under the name uncultured bacterium. RNAcentral describes it as "partial 16S ribosomal RNA". It matches the Rfam family "Bacterial small subunit ribosomal RNA", at positions 338 to 795 of the family's 1533-position model. The record is from RNAcentral.